This 253-nucleotide ribosomal RNA is filed under the name uncultured bacterium. RNAcentral's name for it is "partial 16S ribosomal RNA". It matches the Rfam family "Bacterial small subunit ribosomal RNA", at positions 524 to 776 of the family's 1533-position model. The record is from RNAcentral.
UACGUAGGGUGCGAGCGUUAAUCGGAAUUACUGGGCGUAAAGCGUGCGCAGGCGGUUUUGUAAGCCAGAUGUGAAAUCCCCGGGCUUAACCUGGGAAUGGCGAUGGAGACUGCAAGGCUAGAGUUUGGCAGAGGGGGGUAGAAUUCCACGUGUAGCAGUGAAAUGCGUAGAGAUGUGGAGGAACACCGAUGGCGAAGGCAGCCCCCUGGGUCAAAACUGACGCUCAUGCACGAAAGCGUGGGGAGCAAACAGG